AGAGGUGAAUAUAAUGAGCAAACGGGUCAUUCGUCAUGCACCCAAAGAUAUUCAAAAUGGGGGUAGGAAUUCUCCAAUCUCAUCCCUUCUUUAUUACUUAAGACUCAUGGCACAUAACUUGGCUCAUGAUUAACAAGUGUUGGAUUUGACCUUUGUAGUGCUUGAAUAGUAGUCCUGUCUCAUACUGACUUGAAUUGCUUGAACUCUCGAUCUUGAUCUUUGAAUCUUGAUUGAACUUGGAGAUCCAACAUCCAACAUCUUGAUUACAAGGACUUACUUUAUCAAGUGAUUAAGGGUCUUUCG
This 303-nucleotide long non-coding RNA is filed under the name Lathyrus oleraceus (garden pea). RNAcentral describes it as "Pisum sativum (pea) long non-coding RNA (PSAT_LNC011985)". The record is from RNAcentral. Lineage: Eukaryota; Viridiplantae; Streptophyta; Magnoliopsida; Fabales; Fabaceae.